This 395-nucleotide unclassified non-coding RNA is filed under the name fungal sp. RNAcentral's name for it is "partial internal transcribed spacer region". The stretch from base 1 to 46 matches the Rfam family "Eukaryotic small subunit ribosomal RNA", at positions 1786 to 1831 of the family's 1831-position model. Lineage: Eukaryota; Fungi. The record is from RNAcentral.
AAGUCGUAACAAGGUUUCCGUAGGUGAACCUGCGGAAGGAUCAUUAACACGUUUAAUCUUAAACGUUAUUAGUCAACCGUGAACCUUUACAUAAACCCUGUGGUUGGGAUAUUAAGUAGACGAAGCUGAGAAUGCUGUUAGAGGCAACUCUACCAAUCAGUUAGUCGUUUCUAGGUCCGCCCUGGAAGCUUAUACCAAUACACAGCUGAUCGCCACCACGGAUGGGCUGCAGCAUACCUCGCCCUGGUGGCACAAUAUUAACCCUUUUUGUUAUUAAUUUCUGAUUUUUGUCUGUUUAUUGUGAAUUCCUAUCCUUCGGGUUAGUUGAGUUUACUUUAAAUGACAUCAUAUACAUUAAUUCGAAACAACUCUUAGCAACGGAUCUCUUGGUUCUC